This is a long non-coding RNA of Armigeres subalbatus, 525 nucleotides long. RefSeq lists it as uncharacterized. The record is from RefSeq and is a predicted model, not a curated record. The transcript is spliced from 2 exons. NCBI's taxonomy places the organism in Eukaryota, Metazoa, Arthropoda, Insecta, Diptera, Culicidae.
AAGCUAGACAAAAUGAUGCUCGCAGAAAACAAAAAGGAAAACUAUACAGUGACGAAAAAAGGAAAGCUAAAGAGUCUACCAUCGAUGUUGGAGACUAUGUUGUAGUGAAAAAUUUUAUUCGGAAAAAUAAACUUUCACCAAAUUUUAACCCUCAACAAUACAAAGUUAUCCAAAGAGAUGGAACACGCCUUCAAUUGAAAAAUCUUGAAACAGGUGUAAUUUGUAGCCGGCAUGUAAAUCAUACAAAACGAACUUUAAAUAAAAACCCAUUAUUGGACAAAGAUGCAAUAGAUGAGAAUUCAAAUCAACUCUCAGCUGGUAUACAACUUCAGGAUGCCGAGACUCUAACGCAGAAAGAAACUAAAACACAGGACGUCGAGUUGCCACCAUCAUCAUCCGACGAAUUGAAGAAGCGACGACUCACACCCGAAGCCAAUCAAGUUAAACCAAAAAGACAGAAAUGUCUACCUAAAAGAUUUCUAAACUUUGAAUUGUAUAAUUUAAAUAAUAAUGAACACUAAUUAA